AUAACACUUGAGUAAACAUAAAAACAAGUGUAAGUAGCAAUCCAUAUUGAAAACUGUGCUAUGUGAUUCACUGGAAUGUUUGCAAUUGCAGUAAUGAUUACCAAAUUAAAUGGAAAAUAAAAGGUUCGGUGAUGAAAUUGGAACAAAUUGACUGACUUGAAACUUAGCUUUAAAGUUCAGUGACAAAUGAUGCAAAUUACCAUAUUUUAUCAUGUUGGUAUAGUUCCAUUUAUGGUACCAUGUUGUCUGAUUCAUUUACUUGAAAAACUCAAGAGCUUUCGUUUGCAUGGUGGAACUUGAGAACUUCAUUGUAUGAUCUCAAUAAACUAAUGAUAAGGGAAACAGUGAUAGUAAACUACUCGCUCUUGCUUGCAGUUAUAUCUUAAUUAUACCUGAAGCUUGAAUCAAGUGUGCAUCUGGCAAGCUAAUGCAGGGUAAUUUAAAUAUUACAAACUUGUUUAUAGAAUCUCAAAAUUAGACUAUUAUGACUCUGACAUGCAAAUUUGAACCCUUAUUUUUUUCUCAUCAAGUCUUAAAAUAUCUCUGUAAUCUCUCUCGGUCUCUGAAUUUUCAUAUGACAUUUGGAUUUCUAUAGGAUGGCAAAUCCGAAUAUUGUUUCUUUUUCGUACAUAAUUUGACUUCUUUGAUGCUUUUACAGGUAUGAAACAAUCAGCAGCCCGUAGCAUUUUUUCAAGUUUGUGGUCAGUUGCAGUAAUGGCACUUUGAGUUGAUCUCUUCCUGUUUCUGUUAGAACUUCCAAAGCUCAAAUGGUUUCUUCAAGAGAAGGUACAGAUGAAUUUGCUUCUGAUGAAUUACAGAAAGGACAGAGCCCAGAUGAUGGCAGUCACAUGAUACAACAGAUUGAUGAUAGCGGAAUUCAUACAUCACAAAAUGAUGAAGUCACACCUGUUACCCCUGAGAAGUCUCUGCUGGAUACUAAUCCUGGGGCCCAUAUAUCACAGUUAAAUAAAGAAGGAAGUGUCUCCUCUGUAAUACUGCAUAAAGUCUUACUUACCCCUGGCACUG
Molecule: unclassified non-coding RNA, 1026 nt
Filed under: Hevea brasiliensis (rubber tree)
Lineage: Eukaryota; Viridiplantae; Streptophyta; Magnoliopsida; Malpighiales; Euphorbiaceae
Source: RNAcentral